Molecule: ribosomal RNA, 253 nt
Filed under: uncultured bacterium
Lineage: Bacteria
Description: partial 16S ribosomal RNA
Rfam family: Bacterial small subunit ribosomal RNA
Source: RNAcentral
UACGUAGGGAGCAAGCGUUGUCCGGAAUCAUUGGGCGUAAAGCGCGCGUAGGUGGCUUCGUAAGUCCGUUGUGAAAGUCAAAGGCCCAACCUUUGAAUGCCGAUGGAUACUGCGGAGCUAGAGUACGGAAGAGGCGAGUGGAAUUCCUGGUGUAGCGGUGGAAUGCGCAGAUAUCAGGAGGAACACCAAUAGCGAAGGCAGCUCGCUGGGACGUUACUGACACUAAGGCGCGAAAGCGUGGGGAGCGAACAGG